RNAcentral lists this long non-coding RNA (3516 nucleotides) under Citrus maxima (pomelo). Its description in RNAcentral is "long non-coding RNA (CMAX_LNC004219)". The record is from RNAcentral. Lineage: Eukaryota; Viridiplantae; Streptophyta; Magnoliopsida; Sapindales; Rutaceae.
UCGUAUUAAUUUGUGCUCUUAAUUUUCCAUUUGAUUGCAAUAUAAGAAAAUGAGUAUUACAUGACAUUUGUCCUCAUUUGUUCUGCCUGGAUCGACCAAAAUAAUUUACUUGGUCUCAGUUUUCACCCGUGGAAUACUCUUGGCUUCUUUCUUGUCUAACCAUGACCAUAAAUGAGAAACAAUGGAGGCCAAGGCAGCCAACGAAAUAGUUCAAGCCUUACCAAACAAAAAAACUAACCUUAGUAAACUAAGUCCUCAAGCAAAUAACACAGAUUAAAAUGGCUUCAAAUUAAAUUUUCUCAAGUUUUGUCGGUAACCCGGCAAGCACCGGAAUUAAUUGUUCCGGCGAGGCCAACGCCGCAUGAAUUAAAGCAACUUUCAGAUAUGGAUGAUCAAGAAAGUCUAAGGUUUCAGAUUCCAGGAAUAUUAUUUUACAAGAACAACCCUUCAUCAUCACCUACUGUCCAAAAAGAAAAGAUCCCGUGAAGGUCAUCAAGGAAACUUUAAGUAAAGCACUUGUAUAUUAUUAUCCUUUUUCAUAUACGCUUGUAAAAGGCCCCAACCGCAAGCUUAUGGUGGAUUGCAAGUGAAGGGAUCUUGUUGCUUAAGGCUGAAGCUAACUUCAAACUUGAGCAGCUUGGCGAUGCUGUUCAGCCACCAUACCCAUAUUUGGAACAACUGCUCUGUAAUGUUCCAGGUUCCCAAGGCAUUCUUGGUUGCCCAUUGCUCUUAAUUCAAGUGAGUUUAUCUAUUACUUGUAAGCAAGUGACUUUACUUUCGCAUGCAUACUCAGAUUAUAUAGUUUCUAAAUUCUUUUAACUAAACAUAAAUGUCUAUUUAGUUCCUAGAGUUUUGAGUUAAUUGCAGAAGUAAUUCUUAUAUUUUAAAAAUUUGUCCAAAACAUCCAUGUUAUAAAUAUGUUUCCAUUGCAAUACCUACUUAAUUAUUCUCUACUAUUCUUCUAUUACAUAAUAGUUUUGUUUGAAUUUUAUCAGUAAAAAGUUAGAUCCAACAAUUAUAAAAGUAGCAACAAGGAGCCCACAAAGACUUGGUCAAAUAUUUUUCUUUAGUUACUCACCUGAGCUUAAAUCUUGAGAGAGAUACAAGCUAAAAAGUCAAUUUGAGUUUUGCCCAUUCUCCAACUUCUGAAAAAUAAUAACAAUAAUGGAAAUGAUAUUUUGCGUAAUUUUUCAAAACAUGAAAAGCAACUGAGUAAUUGGCCCCGGACUUAAAAUAAUUUAUCUUUUUAACUAAUCAUUACUUUAAUCAUAAUAUUACUCUUAAUUAAUUAUCUAAUGAUUUUCUUCCUAUGAGUGUAUAAGGUAACUCGAUGUGGGGGAUUCAUUCUUGCAUUACGUUUUAACCACACAAUGUGUGAUGCAAUUGGUUUGGUACAGUUCUUAAAAACCAUAGAGGAGAUGGCACGAGGUUAAGAUAAACCUUCCCUACUCCCUGUUUGGCAACGGGAAUACUUAUGUGCGACAAUUCCACCACAAGUAACAUGUGACGCCCAAAAUGAAUAUGAGCAAAUAAACUCCAUCCCGAGUGCCUUCACAGCUGCCAACUCAAAUGACAUGGACCACAAAUCAUUGUACUUUGGUCUAAUGAGAUAGAUAAAAAAAUAUAGAUUUUAAUAUAUUAACAGAUAAAAAAAUAAUUUUUAAUCUAUUAAAAUUUAUUUUUUAAAUUUUAAUAUGUAUCUAAAGUGAGGAUAAAGUAAAGAUGCUCUACUAGUAAGGGAUUAUAUAUAUUAAAUAUGAAAAUCAGUUCGAGCCAUCAUAAAAUUCUUUUCCUUUAUUACAAAAAACAUAUGGGACAGUAUAGAUCUUUCUCCAAUUACUAGUGAAAACAUAUUUCUAGGCUAUGUUUAACAAACCUCUAAAUUCUGAUACAAAUUAUUCUCAAUAGAUCUCAAAUUGUAAACAUAUCAAUAUGCUUUACUAUGUAUUGAACAUGAUGACGAGUACGUUUCUUGUGAAAUUAGGACGCUAUUGAAUAUGUUGUGAUAAGGUGGUGUACUGUAAAUUAGGAGGCAAAUUCUCCUUCCAAUAAUUCUUGCAACACUCGGCUAAUUGAGCUUGUUCCCCUAAAUAAAUGGAAGUCCUUUCGUGUAUACUUGCACCACCGAAUGAGUUAUUUUAACUUCAAUAAUAUUAGGCAGCAACCCGCUUCUGGUUUAUAUCAUUUGCAGACUUAUUUUUUAACUUUUUUAAGAUGAGGAUUAAUCUAUCUGAACCCGUUCACUGAGUAUUUCAAAUUGUUAUUUUGUACUAGUAGAUAGUUGUCGAUGGAAUAAUAUAUUUAUAGUGCAACUUGGAAAUUCAACGUAGAAUAGCUCAAAAUUCUACUUUCUCUAGCUAAUAUUGGGGAGAUAUGUCCAUAUCUAUUCUACACUCUAUGGAAAGCAAAUAAAGAAUUCCCUUGGAAGCUCGAACUGAUUAGUCCACCAUUAAGCUAUUGUUCAUAGGUUUAGGUGGAAACCAGUGAGAAGUGAAAAUAAAAGUACUUAUCAUGCCAUGAAUUUGUAGUGAAGAAAUAAUCCUUUAGUUUUAUUUUGUUUUGCAAUAAUAACUCUUUCGAUUUUUUUUAAUAUUUUAUUUAGGAAAUAAACCCUUUAGAUUACUAAGCUGUAGCAAUAUUUAGGGAAAAAAGAGAGAAAGAGAAGGAGAGAGUGCAAAAACCACACAUUAAAAUCCUCAUCUAUUUUACAUUUCCAUAUUGAGCAUCACAUCAAGAGUGGGUACACUUUCACUGAAUCGUGGUCUCUAAUGCAUAGGCGGUUGGAAAUUAAUUUUAUUACAAUCGGAUUCUUCUUAUUUUUGGAUAGGAAUGGAUUCAUGAACAUACAUUGUACAUACAACAUAAUGGUCAAUUUACACAUUUUCAACGUUUAGUAAUAUGAUUAGAAAGUUCCCCUGAUUUUAAAUUAUUAAAUUUUAUAUUUAUUGAAAGUGAUAGAGGCACUCGUAUUAACUUGCGCUCUUAAUUUUCCAUUUGAUUGCAAUAUAAGAAAAUGAGUAUCACAUGACAUUUGUCCUCAUUUGUUCUGUCUGGAUCGACCAAAUAAUUUACUUGGUCUCAGUUUUCACCCGUGGAAUACUCUUGCUUCUUUCUUGUCUAACCAUGACCAUAAAUGAGAAACAAUGGAGGCCAAGGCAGCCAACGAAAUAGUUCAAGCCUCACCAAACAAAAAAAAAAAAAACUAAGUCCUCAAGCAAAUAACACAGAUUAAAAUGGCUUCAAAUUAAAUUUUCUCAAAUUUUGUCGGUAACCCGGCAAGCACUGGAAUUAAUUGUUCCGGCAAGGCCAACGCCGCGUGAAUUAAAGCCACUUUCGGAUAUGGAUGAUCAAGAAAGUCUUAAGGUUUCAGGUUCCAGGAAUAUUAUUUUACAAGAACAACCCUUCAUCAUCACCUACUGUCCAAAAAGAAAAGAUCCCGUGGAGGUCAUCAAGGAAGCUUUAAGUAAAGCACUUGUAUAUUAUUAUCCUUUUUCAUGUACGCUUGUAAAAGGCCCC